RNAcentral lists this ribosomal RNA (497 nucleotides) under uncultured bacterium. RNAcentral's name for it is "partial 16S ribosomal RNA". It matches the Rfam family "Bacterial small subunit ribosomal RNA", at positions 28 to 507 of the family's 1533-position model. The record is from RNAcentral.
GAUGAACGCUGGCGGCGUGCCUAAUACAUGCAAGUCGAGCGAACGGACGAGAAGCUUGCUUUUCUGAUGUUAGCGGCGGACGGGUGAGUAACACGUGGAUAACCUACCUAUAAGACUGGGAUAACUUCGGGAAACCGGAGCUAAUACCGGAUAAUAUUUUGAACCGCAUGGUUCAAAAGUGAAAAACGGUCUUGCUGUCACUUAUAGAUGGAUCCGCGCUGCAUUAGCUAGUUGGUAAGGUAACGGCUUACCAAGGCAACGAUGCAUAGCCGACCUGAGAGAGUGAUCGGCCACACUGGAACUGAGACACGGUCCAGACUCCUACGGGAGGCAGCAGUAGGGAAUCUUCCGCAAAGGGCGAAAGCCUGACGGAGCAACGCCGCGUGAGUGAUGAAGGUCUUCGGAUCGUAAAACUCUGUUAUUAGGGAAGAACAUAUGUGUAAGUAACUGUGCACAUCUUGACGGUACCUAAUCAGAAAGCCACGGCUAACUACGUG